AACGAACGCUGGCGGCAUGCCUAACACAUGCAAGUCGAACGGGACCUUCGGGCCUAGUGGCGCACGGGUGCGUACCGCGUGGGAACCUGCCCUUAGGUUCGGAAUAACUCCCCGAAAGGGGUGCUAAUACCGGAUAAUGUCUUCGGACCAAAGAUUUAUCGCCUUUGGAUGGGCCCGCGUUGGAUUAGCUAGUUGGUAGGGUAAAAGCCUACCAAGGCGACGAUCCAUAGCUGGUCUGAGAGGAUGAUCAGCCACACUGGGACUGAGACACGGCCCAGACUCCUACGGGAGGCAGCAGUGGGGAAUAUUGGACAAUGGGCGAAAGCCUGAUCCAGCAAUGCCGCGUGAGUGAUGAAGGCCUUAGGGUUGUAAAGCUCUUUUACCCGGGAUGAUAAUGACAGUACCGGGAGAAUAAGCUCCGGCUAACUCCGUG
RNAcentral lists this ribosomal RNA (433 nucleotides) under uncultured bacterium. Its description in RNAcentral is "partial 16S ribosomal RNA". It matches the Rfam family "Bacterial small subunit ribosomal RNA", at positions 29 to 507 of the family's 1533-position model. The record is from RNAcentral.